This 20-nucleotide small nuclear RNA is filed under the name Arabidopsis thaliana (thale cress). RNAcentral describes it as "snRNA_13640". The record is from RNAcentral. Lineage: Eukaryota; Viridiplantae; Streptophyta; Magnoliopsida; Brassicales; Brassicaceae.
CCUGCCGAAUCAACUAGCCC